RNAcentral lists this ribosomal RNA (627 nucleotides) under uncultured bacterium. Its description in RNAcentral is "bacterial SSU rRNA". It matches the Rfam family "Bacterial small subunit ribosomal RNA", at positions 242 to 860 of the family's 1533-position model. The record is from RNAcentral.
UAGCUAGUUGGUGGGGUAAAGGCCUACCAAGGCGACGAUCUGUAGCGGGUCUGAGAGGAUGAUCCGCCACACUGGGACUGAGACACGGCCCAGACUCCUACGGGAGGCAGCAGUGGGGAAUAUUGGACAAUGGGCGAAAGCCUGAUCCAGCCAUGCCGCGUGUGUGAAGAAGGCCUUUUGGUUGUAAAGCACUUUAAGCGAGGAGGAGGCUACUUGGAUUAAUACUCUAGGAUAGUGGACGUUACUCGCAGAAUAAGCACCGGCUAACUCUGUGCCAGCAGCCGCGGUAAUACAGAGGGUGCGAGCGUUAAUCGGAUUUACUGGGCGUAAAGCGUGCGUAGGCGGCUUUUUAAGUCGGAUGUGAAAUCCCUGAGCUUAACUUAGGAAUUGCAUUCGAUACUGGGAAGCUAGAGUAUGGGAGAGGAUGGUAGAAUUCCAGGUGUAGCGGUGAAAUGCGUAGAGAUCUGGAGGAAUACCGAUGGCGAAGGCAGCCAUCUGGCCUAAUACUGACGCUGAGGUACGAAAGCAUGGGGAGCAAACAGGAUUAGAUACCCUGGUAGUCCAUGCCGUAAACGAUGUCUACUAGCCGUUGGGGCCUUUGAGGCUUUAGUGGCGCAGCUAACGCGA